This 86-nucleotide transfer RNA is filed under the name Schleiferiaceae bacterium. RNAcentral's name for it is "tRNA-Leu". It matches the Rfam family "tRNA". From Rfam's summary of the family: Transfer RNA (tRNA) molecules are approximately 80 nucleotides in length. Lineage: Bacteria; Pseudomonadati; Bacteroidota; Flavobacteriia; Flavobacteriales; Schleiferiaceae. The record is from RNAcentral.
GCCCCGGUGGCGGAAUUGGUAGACGCGCCGGACUUAAAAUCCUGUGGCCAGCAUUGGCCGUGCGGGUUCAAGUCCCGCCCGGGGCA